UUAAGUCCCGCAACGAGCGCAACCCUCGACCUUAGUUGCCAGCAUUCAGUUGGGCACUCUAAGGUGACUGCCGGCUAAAAGUCGGAGGAAGGUGGGGAUGACGUCAAAUCAUCAUGCCCCUUAUGACCUGGGCUACACACGUGCUACAAUGGGCGGUACAAAGGGUCGCGAACCCGCGAGGUGGAGCUAAUCCCAUAAAACCGAUCGUAGUCCGGAUCGCAGUCUGCAACUCGACUGCGUGAAGUCGGAAUCGCUAGUAAUCGUGAAUCAGAAUGUCACGGUGAAUACGUUCCCGGGCCUU
RNAcentral lists this ribosomal RNA (301 nucleotides) under uncultured Anoxybacillus sp. Its description in RNAcentral is "bacterial SSU rRNA". It matches the Rfam family "Bacterial small subunit ribosomal RNA", at positions 1080 to 1382 of the family's 1533-position model. Lineage: Bacteria; Bacillati; Bacillota; Bacilli; Caryophanales; Anoxybacillaceae. The record is from RNAcentral.